AUAACAGUAAGCAAAUAUUCACUUCUUGUCCUUUCCUAUUUCCUUUUUGCAUUUGCAUGGCCUCACAGAUGUAAUGCUUUCUGCAGGUGCUUACUAUUGGAUGCCCAUAAGUGUAGAGGGCAACAAGACUGAAGAAGAGGUCCAAAAUUUGGUGAGAAUGACAAAUUUCACUAGUCCAUCCCGUUACGUUUCUCAUAAAUCUUUCAGUUAACACCCCAUCAUUGACACAUGCUUUUACAAACAAGCCUUGUAAGCACAAUGUAAGUUUAUGGGAGCAGCGUAUUCCAACCCUGUGAAUCACCUGAAAAUAAUUUAGAUUUUUUUACGCCAAAUAUUUGUUGCUUUAUUACCACUUUGACCUUUUACAAAUGUUGCUCCCACUGUGUUAUAAGUAUGUUUCUUUAAACGCCUUUUUUUUUUUUGCUUUCUUCAGUGUCUUCUCUUCUCCUUUCCCAUCAUUCCUAACUUAAAUGAACACUUCCUACAUAAUAUUCUUACUGACACUUGAUGUGCAGUUCUCAGCCUAUGUCAGAUAGACCUUUCUACGUUAAGACCAUGAUUAUUAGCUGUCUCUGGUACCUAUCUUUGCAUUGUAAAGCUAAUGAUAAAACAAAUGUAAUAAUCAAAUAAAAUGUAAUGGCAACAGCAGUAAUAGAUAUACAAAUUAUUAGACAUUGUAGAUAUAUUCACAGUUAUUUCGACUAGUCAUUUCCUCCCAAUAACCCUUUUUGCUUUGUUGUUUGGUAAUGAGUUUCUUUCUGCAAAGCUGAAGGAGAGGAGAAAAAAGGUGUCAAAAGCAUUUGGUUGUCACAAUGACAGUGUUGGUGCAGCAGAAGGAAAAACAGGCUCUUUAAAUUUCUGUCAGGGUGACAGACAACUUCAGGUCAGUACAGAAAACGACAACACCUUAUAUACUUUACAGAAUCAAAUUUCUCCUGUAAGCCUGGCUCAUGGCUUUAACUCUCCUUUCUCUCUUUGCAGGUAGUUGAAGUGUCCUGUAGUGCAAAAAGGAACAUAAGGUAAAAAGGAUAUGAAGAGCUGCUUUGUACAGCUGUUACAUGUGCAGCAGAUUGUGCGUCCUCACAUGAAACACUUUUGUUUCCAGCCAAACUGCCUGCAAUGUGGUGCUGCUGCUCAACCAUGCUGUCUCAGUGUGUGAACUUCAACAAGCUGGAGACGCUGCACUGCAGCAAGCGAGAAUCAUAGGGGAGAUGGAGAGAGUCGGUGAGCGCUUGUUUCCUUGCCUUUGCCUUCACUCUGUUUUGUCUGUGAAUUAGUUCCCCGGUCUUCUUUGUCCAUCUUCCUGUUUUACUUUGGCAACUGCUCUUUCUUGUGUGCUGCUUCCUUCCUUGUUCCCUGACUGCAGUAAAAUAGUUAAAAAUAUGACCUCCUAUCUUCUUGAUAGAAAUCAUCAUGGUGUCAAGGAAAAGUGUGAAAAGGAAAAGAGGACCACAGUACCCAGGGUAUCUGAUUGCACUUAUUCAGUGCUUGCACAAAGCUCCUGAUAAUGCUGCUGAUGUGGCUUUGUUGUGUUGACAACAGCAGUGUCCUGAAGAUGGAUUAUAAAAAGCUCAUCUUAGAUGCUUUGCCCAGUGUGUUCUUACAAAGUUGUUUCAUGCUGGUCAUGUAAAAGAGAACAACUAGUUAAAAAUAUACUGCCCAGCCAAAAAAAAAAAAAAAAAAGUUUAAAAAACAUACAAAUUUUAAAAUUAAUGCUCUUACACUAUUUACUUAGGUAAAUCCAGGUGGUGACUUAAGUUAAUAUGUAUAAGUUCAUUACUAAAAAUCAAUAAAUAGUAUCAAAUCAUAGGGGUGACACAUUGAGAUAUGUGCUCUAAUUUUCUCUCCCUGUUAAAGAGAUGAUCCCUUGUUAAUACUUGUGUGACUUAAGUAAAAUUUAUGCUUGAUAAUACCUGAGGCUGAAAAUACAGCAAUAGACCUAGCUAAUGAAAAGUGAAUUAUGGUAAAAGAGGCCUUCCCACCUAACAGAUUGAGAGAUGUGGUACACUGUGGACAAAAAAGUCUGUCACAUGGCUAACAUGUGACAGACAUUCACACUCACAUUCAGACCUACGACCAGUUUAGAAACUAUUUGCACAUGCAAAUUCCACACAGAAAGGCUCCAGUUUCAAGGCUUCAAGUCCAGGACCUUCUAGCUGUGAAUCAUCAGUGCCACCACUAUCCUGUCCCCAAAACUUAAUCAUAUCAAAACAAAUAUUUAACUCAUUAAAUGGAAUCAUGUGAACC
Molecule: long non-coding RNA, 2247 nt
Filed under: Oreochromis niloticus (Nile tilapia)
Lineage: Eukaryota; Metazoa; Chordata; Actinopteri; Cichliformes; Cichlidae
Description: lncRNA (ENSONIG00000037142.1)
Source: RNAcentral